AUGGCAAAAUAUUUUUGGAGCAGUUCUCUGGAUAAAAAUUCUAUGCAUUGGGUGUCCUGGAAAGAGCCGGCAACACCUAAGUGCAAAGGAGGGAUGGGGUUUCGUGACCUGCAUCAGUUUAAUCUUGCUAUGUUGGGCAAACAGGGUUGGCGAUUAAUGACAAACCCUACAUCGUUGUGUGCUAGAGUGCUCAAGGGUCGCUACUUUCCCGACAGCGAUUUUAUGCAUGCAUCUGCUCCAAAGUCGGCAUCGGCCACUUGGAAGGCUAUCAUGGCGGGAAGGGAGGCUCUAGGGGCCGGGCUGAUCGCCCGAGUGGGAGAUGGCAGCACGUUAUCAAUGUGGAAUGGCAAAUGGAUUGCUGGAACUAUUUCAAUGAAACCAAUCUUCAAACCACCAAACACCACCAUCCAAACGGUGGAUGAGCUCAUUGAUACGACCAAUUGGUCUUGGCGGCAAGAUAUGGUCAGGGAAACCUUCAUCACCCAGAUGCCGAAGCCAUUCUGA
This 504-nucleotide ribosomal RNA is filed under the name Triticum aestivum (bread wheat). RNAcentral's name for it is "partial small subunit ribosomal RNA". Lineage: Eukaryota; Viridiplantae; Streptophyta; Magnoliopsida; Poales; Poaceae. The record is from RNAcentral.